This is a non-coding RNA of Pelobates cultripes (western spadefoot toad), 614 nucleotides long. NCBI's taxonomy places the organism in Eukaryota, Metazoa, Chordata, Amphibia, Anura, Pelobatidae. The record is from the annotation of a GenBank genome assembly.
UAUAUCUGGGUAUACACCGUGGCGGUGUAGGUGGAAGCGGCGGCGGUGGAGGAGGUAGUCAACACUGUUUUUUUGUUUUGGUUUUUUUUUAAUUGGGGUAACCCCCAAAAUAUUGGGACAUAUAAAAAAAGAAAAACUUGAGUAUAACAAUGGCUGGGUGAGGCCAGUAUAAAUGUCUAUUCUGCACAAGGUACAGACAAGUCUGGUGGAAUCCAUGCCUGGUUCAUUUUAAUAAACGUGACAGGCAGCUGCGCUUGUCUGUGAUAACCUCUUGCCGAUUGCACAUCCCUGUGACGGCAACAACGCAUUUGGAUGUCUGCCCUAUCAACUUUCGAUGCAAUUUUCCGCGCCUAUCAUGGUGACCACGGGUAACGGGGGAUCAGAGUUCGAUUCCAGAGAGGGAGCCUGAGAAAUGGCUAACACAUGCAAGGCAGCAGGCGCGCAAAUUACCCACUCCCGACGCCGGGAGGUAGUGACGACAAAUAACAAUACACUACUCUUUCGAGGCCCUGUAAUUGUAAUGAGUCCACUCUAAAUCCUUUAACUUGAAUCAAUUGGAGGGCAAGUCUGGUGCAGAGCGACUGACCUGUGCGUGCCGCAGCUGAAACUCCACU